AAGGCUGUAGAACGCCGAGGAAAGGGCGCGAACUUUAUUCCGACUGCAGCUAACCGCGGCGCCUCUUUCCUUUUCGGGCGCUCGCCCCAUCUCGGCCCCCUUUGCCCAGUUCCUCCUCGCGAGCCGCCGCCGCUGCCCCCUCCUCUCUCUUCCCCUUCACCUUCCCCUUCUCCUCUUCCUUCCCCGCUACGGCCGCCCCGCUCUGCUUGCCCUGUCAGCCCAGGUCGUCCGCGCGCUGCUGGGGAGAAGGCGAGCGAAGCGGACGACAACUCAGAAGACAGAAACUCAGGGCGAGAAAGUGCUGGGAGGAAAGGCAGAAAGUUGAGCGCAGCUGGAGGGGGGAAGUUGUUGGCGGCGGCGCGUUUGGAGCUAUGACUGACAAGAGAAUAGGACCCAAGUAGCCACAGCUGUUCUGAAAAUGUGAUUAGGCCCGUUACUCACAUGGAUCCAGCUUUUUAACAGUGGGGCCACUGCACCUGCGUUCUGUGUACUGAUUGGGCCCAAAUUCCUGACGUUUCUAGGCCCUUUCAAAGAAGAUUUCCAGUCAUUUUUGCCUUUGUGGAUUCAGUGCAUCACCUUCCAUGGAGAGAUAGAAUUGCUCUUGAUGAACUCACAUUGCUGUUAGUUGCUACCAUUUCGAUUCCAACUUGUGGCAACCACAUGUGUGUAUAGUGGAACUCCAUAAAGGCUGUGUCCUUUCAGAAGCAGACCACCAGGCCUUUCUUCCAAGGUGCCUCUGGGGGAAGAAGACCAAAACCAAGAAAUUUGAGCAUGAUUUGGAGUUAUCAUCACCAUCUUGAUCCCUUUUGGGAAAAUGUACACAAAAUUAAAUUAGGUGUUCUCUGGCUUUUGACUCUUAAGGUACAGAGAAAUAAAAUUUAGAGACUAUUAUAUAUUAUUCAGAAAAUAUAAUUUGAUUUAUUUCCUUCUUUUACAGUUGUUAUGAACUGUAUCAUCAUGGCACCAGUGGAACAUUUUUAUAUGAGAAUAGUUUAAACAUUUCUUUAUAUUAACAAAUCAAUUACUCAGAAUUAAAGAUAGUAUCUGUUCUCUGUUUUCAAGUCAUGAAGCAUUGAAUGCCCACCAAACACUGUUUCUGUAUUGAGCACAGGAAUACUUGAGCCAUGUUCUAUCCCCACUGGAGCCUGUAUGUUUCACUGGGAGAAAAUAAGACCCACAAAAGGAGCCCCUAAAAUCACACAAUAAUGUAAGUUACCUAUGGCUGUGAACAAAUAGAAGAUUCCUGUUGUCCUGGAAAUGUCACUAGGUCACACAUACAGUUUGCACUCAGCUACUAAAGGUUGGCAAUUCGAACCCCUUGGUACAGUACUGAAGAAGAAAGGCCUGGUGAGCUGCUUCCUUUAAGAUUACAGCCAAGAAAACCCUAUGGAGCAGUUCUACUCUAAUACAUGGGAUUGCCGUGAAAUAAGAAUUGACUCGAUGGCAACGUUUUUACAGAUUUUCCUGGACAGAGAGCUCACCCAGACACAAUCUAGGUUCAAAUUCACAUUCUUAUACCAAUAAACUAUGUAAUCUUGGGAAUGUUAUGUAACCUCUGCAGU
Molecule: long non-coding RNA, 1562 nt
Organism: Loxodonta africana (African savanna elephant)
Lineage: Eukaryota; Metazoa; Chordata; Mammalia; Proboscidea; Elephantidae
Exons: 4
Source: RefSeq, a predicted model, not a curated record